CCUUCUUCUUCUUUUCCUUCUUCUUCUUUUCCUUCUUAUUAAAUCUAUUGGCAAUGGCUGAUAUUUGAUCUGGUAUUUGAAUCACUUGACAAAAAUCUAAUGGAGCUUUCAGUAUCUUAUAUCCACUAUCUUCUUCUGAGAUCCUAGAAGUAGAAAAGCAUGAUGAAGAA
RNAcentral lists this non-coding RNA (170 nucleotides) under Coscinodiscus wailesii. The record is from RNAcentral. Lineage: Eukaryota; Bacillariophyta; Coscinodiscophyceae; Coscinodiscales; Coscinodiscaceae.